Long non-coding RNA from Camelus dromedarius (Arabian camel), 1481 nucleotides. RefSeq lists it as uncharacterized. The transcript has 3 exons. The record is from RefSeq and is a predicted model, not a curated record. Lineage: Eukaryota; Metazoa; Chordata; Mammalia; Artiodactyla; Camelidae.
GUGCUUCAGAGUAGGCUGCACCCACCCCGACCGGCAGGCUGGAAAGGAAAGUCGGAGGCGCAUGCACAGAGGACGUCUUGGACGCGGGUGCUGCUGGAGGGGGCCACCAGAGGACCGUUCAUACCACAACAGACUGGCCUUCCACCUAGUGAGUCAGCACCUUGAACAAUAGGACUAUUCUGGAAGCCAUUCCUACCAGGACAACUAGUUAGAUCCCAUCAGUGCCUGAGGCCGCUCCAGCACCACCCAUGGUAAGGAGAAAUGCAACAUGCGGAAAUAGAACUGGGAAAAGCCAGUGGUCUAAACCAAUUGCAUUUUAAAUACCUUCCUUUUGCAAAUUUUACAAAGACAUCAGAUCUUAGGAACACCUUGCUAGGACCAUGGAAGGGCCUAUGCAAAUCAGGGGCCCUGAAGCUUCUGUGAGCUUUACUAUAAACCCACUCUGAAUACCGAUCACGAUGCAUUUAUUGAAUGUCCAUUUAUUGAAUGUGUGCCAGAGGCUAGUGCCAGAAAUCCUGCCCUGGAAUAUAACAGCUAGUCCUGACACUGCCACCAGCUGUUGGUGGGGCCUCCUUCCUUCUCUGUGUGUGAGUUUUCCCACCUGGAGAAUGAGUAAUACUAAAAGACUAACAUUUAGGGUUAUUAUGAGGCCCAGAUAUAAAGCUCACUAAACGGUCCAGUUAAGAACCUGGGGGCUUUGCAGUCAGAGAGACCUAGAUGAGAAUCCCAGGGGGGAAAAAAUCAAGGCUUCCUCUUACCAGCUUGGGACUGCCCACAAGUCGUGCCUUUUCUGUGAUCUUCCCUUUCUUCAUCUGUAAAUGGAGUUUGAUUCAUUUGUUCAUUCAUUCAUCCAGCAUUUCCUGAGCACUUGCUGUGUUCCAGGCAUUUUUCUGGAUCCCGGGACUUGGUACCUCAGUGAAGAGACAAAAAACGCCCAUGCUCUAGUGAAAGGGAGACAGGCAAUAAAAUACAAAUAAAUAAAUGGCAGGUGGUGAUAAGUGGUAUGGAAAAAAUAAAGCAGAGGUAAAGGGGAAGGGGUGGUCAGAGAUGGUGUCUUAGAGAAGCUGGCUUAGAGCAGAGACUUGAGGUCAGUGAAGGAGCUGGCCUUGUAGUCCAAGGGUAAAGCAUUCCAGGAAAAGGAAACAGUGAGUGCAAAGGCACUGAGAUGGGAGCAUCCCUGAUGCAUUUAAAGAAUAGUGAGGCGGUCAAUAUUGAGUGAGUAGAAGUGUGGUAGAAGAUGUUUGGGAGAGAGCCAGAAGCCAAGUCAUCUAGGGUCUUGUAAGCCAUCUUGAGAUCUUUGCAUUUUGCUCUGAGUGAGAAGGAGCCCACUGAAAGUGGAGGGCAGCAGGGACAUCAUUUUAAUCACGUCAUGAGUGAUCAUACUGUGUUAAGAAGAGGCUGGGUUAAAAUAAUUCGAAUGAUAUUAAAUGGUACAACCUAUGGAAAACAUUUUGGUAGCUCCUCAUAAGGUUCAACAUAGA